CAAGACGCUGAUACGCUGAUAGAAGCUGAUGCUGGUAAGACGCUCAUUGUAGAUUCCUGCACAAGUAAAAUAUUGUAAACUUAAUAGUUUGUCCAAGACUAAUACUCCAUCGAGAAUUGCUUCAAUGGCUGACGAAAACAUUUUCCUUUUCGUUCCGAAUUUGAUCGGCUAUGCCCGCAUUGUUCUGGCUCUGCUGGCCUUUUACCUGAUGACAUGCUGCCCAGUGCCAGCUGUGUUCUGCUACCUGCUCAGUGCCCUCCUGGAUGCCUUUGAUGGACAUGCUGCCCGUGCUCUGAACCAAGGCACUAAGUUUGGUGCCAUGCUGGACAUGCUGACUGACCGCUGUGCCACCAUGUGUCUCCUGGUCAACCUUUCUCUGCUCUACCCCUCCUACACCUUCCUGUUCCAAGUCAGCAUGUGCCUGGACAUUGCCAGCCACUGGCUGCACCUUCACAGUUCAAUGAUGAAAGGAUCCACCAGCCACAAGACUAUUGAUCUUUCAGGAAACCCCAUCCUUCGCCUCUACUACACUUCCCGGCUGGUGUUGUUCAUCAUGUGUAUGGGGAAUGAGCUGUUCUUCUGCCUGCUUUAUGUCUUCUACUACAUCGAGGAACCCCAUGUGUGGCUGCAGUGGCUGCUCAGUGUCUGUGCCGUGGUGUGUGCCCUGAAGUCGGCCAUCAGCGUGCUGCACCUUGUCACUGCCUCCAGGAAUAUGGCUGCCAUCGACAUGGCCGACCGUGAGAGGGAGCGGACUAAGGCCGAGUGAGGCAAAGGGAGUGGGCGGUGGAAAGCAACCCUCACGCCUUAACUGUAGUUUUGAGCGGAUUGGUGUGACAAUUUGGGGGCACAUAGUGAGGAAAGGCUUCGUAUAGAGAUCGUCAACUUGAAGGAGCAGCUAGAGGCCCGCACGGAGGAGAGCGUCAUGCCUCAACAGACAUUUUAGAAGGUGAGUGGAUAUGAGGGGGGGGCAGGCACACACUAAGGCCAUAGAAAAAGGGUACUCAAAUACAAAUACAAAUCCACAAAGAAUAUGUUCAAUAAGACAAAGGUCUGUUUAAUAAGGUCUGUCAAAUAUAUUUAGUACAUAGGAUAUACAAAUGACAAUGACAUUUUCUCCAUCCCCACAACUGGUUCAAACACACCCACCUAAGGUGUCAACGUGGAGUCCAGAACUAUUGUACAUUGUGUCAAACACUGGCUAAGUGAGAGCAAGUGGCACAUUUGGUCUGUUGCUAAGACUAUGAACUGUGGCACAUUUGGUCUGUUGCUAAGACUAUGAACUGUGGCACAGAAGGUGUGAUGACCAAGCGAAGACACUGAUGCAGGUGUUCAUUGGUGAGUGGGCUGCGGUACUUGUUCUUCACCAUGUUUAUUGUUGAUAAUGCAGACUCACAGCUGUACGUUGAGCCAAACAUUGUGAAAAUGUGAAGUGCCAUCUUAUGUAGGAGAGAGAAAUGAGCUGCAGUAACCAGAAGGUGGAGCAUCACAUUCUGCCUCUUUCAGUGUGAGGUUUUCCUGGAGGUCAAUCAACUCACUUUGCAGAGAAGCAGCACUCGGAGCAUCGGAGCAUCGCUUACAGUGGAGUAGGCGGGGAAUUUUGCUCAGAGUAUAAUUUGCUCAGAGUCCGGAGACAGUUGUGGUUCGGUCCGGAUCCGGACCGGAGUCCAGACUUUGAGGAUACAUGACAUAAAACAUGGUCUGUAAUAAUUCAAAGUUCUAUCCCAACUAAACCUAACUCCUGGAAUACCUUAUUUGAAUAAAAUCUAAUUGCAUAGUUCUGUUGACCUUUGCCCUCCACAGUGAAACUGUACAGACUGAAGACAGAGAUGGAGCGUGUCCAGUGUCAGAAGGAGAAGCUGCUUCAUUGCCGUCUUCAGGCUGUACAGCUUCACUGUGGAUGGCAAAGGUCAAUAGGACUAUGUUCACCUACAGGGAGACAACAGCUCCCUCAGCCACAACAAGGUACUAGGACGAGAAACUGAGGCAGCAGUGUAUGCUUGUGUUGAAUAUUGGGCAUUGAUUUGAAAAGUUGUAUAAACUUCUCAUCUCCUUUCCAGUCAUCUCUCCAACAGAGGGACUCCAACUAUCACAGUCACUACAGGUGAUGUUGAUGCAGAGAUGGGGACUUGAGUCUGAGACACGGACUGGAGUCGCACUUAAGUCGCACAAACAGCUGACUUCAGACUUCACUUGCGACUCGAACCAAAAGAUUUUAGACUCGAACUUUGAGACUCGUCAACAACCUGUUUUCAUGCAAUUAUUGGUUUUAAAAUUCUAAAUUAAUUAAUGUAUUUUUAUUUUAUUCUAUUGGCGCAUAUACGUUGGGGAAGCGUAUGAUGAGCUGCAUGUCCCCUGCCCUUUGCCAUACUGUGCAAUGUAAUGCAUGCACUAUGCCUAUGUGCGCGCACUCACAUCAAAAUAUGCAUUGAUGAUGGUGACACCAAAGUCCUCCCGGAGUUGUGCCUUUUGUCAUUAGUUUUGGUUUCAAUAACUUUGUGAACAGUGGCAGUAAGCGAACAGCGACAUGCAAGUUGUGUGGCACCAAGAUAAAUGAUGCCGGAUCAACAAUGUCGAUUUUCAUCAGGCACCUCAAAACGCACCCAGAUAGGACAGUCACUUGCUAAUGUGAAAAAUAUGUUACAUUUAGCAUAUAUUGUCACAGGUAACAAGCUAACCAUUGCAAAGUGUUGUGCUAAUGCUGGGAACAGGCAAAUUGUAUCUUUAUAGUUGUAUCCAUAUGAUGUCAUUGCAGAUUGCAUUGCAGUAGACCCCAUAGAGUUAUCCUACAACUGAUUUUGAUACUGUACUGUAUGGAUGGUAGCUACAGGACGUGCUUUGAAUUCAUAAGAUUAAACAAUAGAGUGUUGGGGACAGAUCAGAUGGCAGGAGAGACUUGAGACUUGACUUGAACUUGCAAAAAAUGACUUGUGAACAUCUCUGUGCUGAUGCAGAUCCUGGAUCAGACAUGCUGAUCUAGGACUGUUCAAUCAGUGUCACAUUGGACUGGUUGCUAUUUCAUAAACAGCUCCAGUCCAUUUGGGAUCUACUGGAUUUUAUCAGAUGUGAUUUUUUUUGUCCAUGGGCCAUUCAAGUGAGUAAAGGCAUUUAUUGUGGUAUUUCAUGUCUCCUUAUCAAAGAGUUUCUGGCUGGCCCUUUGUUCAUUUGCUUGAUGAUAGAGCUCAUUAGCUCUUGUGACAUUUGUCUGACUAUUUUAAACAGGUGGUAACAGAGGCUUAGUAAAUGUAAACACUUACAUUUCAUUACAGUGUAUAAUUAUUAUUUCCAUUAUUAAAUUCACCGAUAGUAAUGUAAUUACUAAUUGGCAAAUGUUAUUAGCAAAUAAAAAGCUAUGCUGAUUCUGUCUCUCUUUCCCUCAUCUGCCAUCCCUCUCUUCUAGGUGAAACUGGAGCUGAUUCGUCAGGCAGACACUCUGGACCAGGUGAGAGACAUCUUGGAGGAAGGGCUUCCUGAAGAAAGUGGCUGUCCUACAGAUGCCACGUGAGCCAAUCAGAGCAGCAGAACCAAAGUGCCAGGAAGUAUUCCAAGAGUGACCAAUAAGAGUGAGGCUGGACUGGAAGUGCAACAGUUACCACAGGGAACAACCGGACCACUACCAUGUCAUUGCCACUGCUUUUAUGUCAACUUGGAGUAUGAAUUCAUGUACAAAAACGCAGCAUUAAUUGAGUUGAGCUUAAAAGACUAUGAAACAAACCAUGCAAAUGCAGUGCUAUAUUGCAAUAAUCUUUGGGGGGGCCUUUCUAAAAAGGAUGCCUACUCAGAACAGAACUUGAUGUGGUGGGGAUGUUUUGGUUAUAGUGUUAUUUACACUUUUACAAGUUUGCAAAACAUUUGACCACUAACAAAAGUAAUUCCAAGUGUGCAAAAAAUUUUACAAAUAAAAAAACAUAUGUCGCUGUUUUACUUUCCUUAAUGCUCACACAAAUACAGUGGGGAGAACAAGUAUUUGAUACAUUGCCGAUUUU
This is an RNA transcript of Esox lucius (northern pike), 3983 nucleotides long. It is a transcript of the gene named CDP-diacylglycerol--inositol 3-phosphatidyltransferase (phosphatidylinositol synthase), with no coding region annotated. The transcript has 8 exons. NCBI's taxonomy places the organism in Eukaryota, Metazoa, Chordata, Actinopteri, Esociformes, Esocidae. The record is from RefSeq and is a predicted model, not a curated record.